AGUGAACGCUGGCGGUAGGCCUAACACAUGCAAGUCGAACGGCAGCACAGUAAGAGCUUGCUCUUACGGGUGGCGAGUGGCGGACGGGUGAGGAAUACAUCGGAAUCUACUUUUUCGUGGGGGAUAACGUAGGGAAACUUACGCUAAUACCGCAUACGACCUACGGGUGAAAGCAGGGGAUCUUCGGACCUUGCGCGAUUGAAUGAGCCGUGGCCGGAUUAGCUAGUUGGCGGGGUAAGGCCCACCAAGGCGACGAUCCGUAGCUGGUCUGAGAGGAUGAUCAGCCACACUGGAACUGAGACACGGUCCAAACUCCUACGGGGGGCAGCAGUGGGGAAUAUUGGACAAUGGGCGCAAGCCUGAUCCAGCCAUACCGCGUGGGUGAAGAAGGCCUUCGGGUUGUAAAGCCCUUUUGUUGGGAAAGAAAAGCAGCAGGUUAAUACCCCGCUGUUCUGACGGUACCCAAAGAAUAAGCACCGGCUAACUUCGUG
Molecule: ribosomal RNA, 491 nt
Filed under: uncultured bacterium
Lineage: Bacteria
Description: partial 16S ribosomal RNA
Rfam family: Bacterial small subunit ribosomal RNA
Source: RNAcentral